GUUAGAAUUGUUUCAUAUGAGAGGUAGUAUAUGGUUUAGAAUUCAAUACAAGGUGUAGUUUUAGGAACACAACUAAUGUCUUCUUAGAAAUCGGAAAAAUCAUCAUGGAAUGUUUAAGGCAUUGUAGGUUCUCUUGAUAAAAUUUUCCAUAGAGCUUCAUUCACUUUGUGUACUUAAGUAGUCGUAGAACAUUCAGAUCCAAGCAGCUCCAAAAGUGGAAA
Molecule: unclassified non-coding RNA, 221 nt
Filed under: Hevea brasiliensis (rubber tree)
Lineage: Eukaryota; Viridiplantae; Streptophyta; Magnoliopsida; Malpighiales; Euphorbiaceae
Source: RNAcentral